UUUUUUUUUUGCUUUUUAGGGCCACACCUUCAGCAUAUGGAAGUUCUCAGGCUAGGGGUCAAAUUGGAGCUACAGCUGCCACCCUGUGCCACAGCCACAGCAACUGGGGAUCUGAACCACAUCUGUGACCUGCACCACAGCUCACAGCAACGCUGGAUCCCUGACCUCACUGAGCCAGGCCGGGGAUUGAAUCCGCAUCCUCUUGGACACUAGUUGGAUUUGUUUUCGUUGCAUCACAAUAGGAACUCCUAGGAUUUACUUUUAAAUUUUUUCAUACAUAACACAGCUUGGCAUUAAUUAUAUUAACCAUGUUGUACAUUAUUGUACCCCCAGUGCUAAUUUACCUUAUAACUUCAAUUUUGUACCUUUUCACCACCUUUAUCUAAUUCCCUUUCCUCCCACCCAUUGCCUCUGAUAGUCACAAAUCUGAUCUCCUUUUCUGAUUUUGUUUCUUUUCUUUUUGAAGUUAUUUUGACCUGCAACACUAUAUUAUUUUCUGGUGCACAACACAGUGAUUUGAUAUUUCUAUACAUUUUAAAAUGAUCACCACAAUAAGUCUAGUUACCAUAUGUCAUCAGGCAAAGAUAUUACAUUAUUAUUGACUAUAUUCCCAAUAUUGUACAUUUCAAAGUCAAGACUCAUAUAUUUUAGAACUGUAUGUUUGUACCUCUUAAUUUCCCCCACCUAUUUUACUCAUCUUCUCACCUGUCCUCUUUGCAACCACCUGUUCUCUGUGUCUGUGACUCUGUUUUGUAAUGUAUGCUCAUUUGUUUUGCUUUUUUAAAUUCCAUGUAUGAGUGAAAUCAUACAGUAGUUGUCUUUUUCUCUCUCACUUGUUUCACUUAGCAUAAUACCUUCGAGGGUCCAUCCAUGUUGUUGCAAAUGGCAAAAUUUCAUUCACUAUUAUGGCUGAAUGCUAUUCCAUUGAAUACAUAUGUAUAUCAUAUCUUCUUUAUCCAUUAAUCUAGCCAAUGGAUAAUUAGGUUGAUUCCAUAUCUUGGCUGUUGUGAAUAAUGCUGCAAUGAAUAUAGGGGUGCAUAUAAUCUUUUCUAUUAGCGUUUUUGUUUUCUUGGAAUAAAUACCCAGGAGUGGCUCAUAUGGUAGUUUUAUUUUUAAUUUUUUGAGGAAUCUUCAUACUGUUUUCCAUAGUGGCUGUACCAAUUCACAUUCCCAUCAAUAGUGCACAAGAGUUCCCUUUUUUCUAUAUGCUUGCAAUCACUUGUUAUUUAUGGUCUUCUUGGUAAUAGACAUUCUGACAGGUGUGAUGUGAUAUUUCAUUGUGGCUUUGAUUUAUAUUUCCCUGUGAUUAGUGAUAUUGAGCAUUUCUUAUGUGUCUGCUGGCCAUAUCAAUGUCUUUUUUGGAGAAAUGUCCAUUCAGAUCCUCUGCCCAUUUUUAAAUUGGGUUGGAUUCUUAACCCAUUGCACCACAGCAGGAACUCCAGUGCCUUGCUUUCUUGAUUACUGUAACUUUGUAGUAUAAUUUGAAAUCAGAGAGUGUGAUACCUCAGCUUUGUUCUUUCUCAAAAUUGUUUUGUCUAUUGGCAUCUCUUUGUUUACAUACAAAUUUUUUUUUUUUUUUUUUUUUGUCUUUUUGCUAUUUCUUGGGCCGCUCCGGUGGCAUAUGGAGGUUCCCAGGCUAGGGGUCGAAUCAGAGCUGUAGCCUCAGGCCUACGCCAGAGCCACAGCAACUCGGGAUCCGAGCCGCGUCUGCAACCUACACCACGGCUCACGGCAAUGCCGGAUCCUUAACCCACUGAGCAAGGCCAGGGACCUAACCCGCAACCUCAUGGUUCCUAGUCGGUUUCAUUAACCACUGUGCCAUGACGGGAACUCCUGCAUACAAAUUUUAUAUCUAUUUGUUCGUCUGUGAAAAAUCCUAUGGGUGUUUUGGUAGAGAUUACAUUGAAUCCAUGGAUUUCCUUGGGUAGUAUGGAAAAUACUAUCCAAUAUAACAAUGUUAAUCCUUCCAGUCCUUGAGCAUGGUAAAUCUUUCCAUUUGUUUGUAUCAUUUUCAAUUACUUUUAUCAUUGUCUUAUUAUUUUCUGAGUAUAGAUCUUUUAUCUCCUUAGAUUUAUUCCUAGAUAUUUUGUUCUUUUUGGUGUGAUAGUAAGUGAGAUUGUUUUCUUAAUUUCUCUUUCGGAUACUUUGUUAUUAGUAUAUAGAAAUACAGUAGAUUUCUAUAUAUUAAUUUUUGCAUUCUGCAACUUUACUGAAUUCAUUUAUUUCAAUAGUUUUUUUUAGCGGUGUAUUUAGAAUUUUCUAUGUAUAGUGUCAUGUCAUCUGCAAACAGAUUAUUUCUUCCUUUCCAAUUUGGAUAACUUCAAUUUAUUUUUCUUGUUUGAUUGCUGCAGCUAGGACAGCUAAUGCUAUGUUGAAUAAAAGUGGUAAGAAUGAGUCUCCUUAUCUUAUUCCUUAUCUUAGAGGAAAUGCUUUCAGCUUUUCACCAUUGAGUAUGAUGUUGGCUAUAGGUUUGUCUUAAGUGGCCUCUUCAUGUUGACAUAUGUUUGCUUUAUAUCACCUUUGUUGAGAGUUUUUAUCAUAAAUAGAUAAUGAGGGAGUUCCCUUGUGGUUAAGGAUCUGGCAUUGUCACUGCAGCAGCUCGAGUCACUAUUGUGGCUCAGGUUCAUUCCCUGUCCUGGGAACUUCCACAUGCUGUGAGUGCAGCCAAAAAAAAAAGAUGUUGAAUUUUGUCAGAAAAUUUUUCUGAAGCUAUUGAGGUGAUCAUACAAUGUUUACUCUUCAAUUUGUUAAUGCAAUGUAUCACACUGACUGAUUUGCAUCUGUAUAUAUAAAGUCUUCCUGCCAUACCAGCAGUUUACAAGUUUGCUAAGCAGAACAGCCAGCCUGGCAUCUUUGCCCCAGGUUGAUUCUGGGUCCCCUCCUCCUAAAAUUCCUUCCCCACCCCCAAACAAACACGCACACACAAUCUCACUUGCCACUGCCACCACCACCUCCACCUACAACACCAGGCCCCAAUCCAAAAACUAGAAGAGGCCUUCCUUGGGGAAACAUGACUGUCCCCAGUGCCAUCCCUAACACUGGCCCUGUGCUGACUCAGGACGGGGGAAACCCCGAGAUGCUUCUGCCCAGAAGAGCUCUCAGUGCGAGGAGGAGACAGUCCUAGAGGCAUGUGACACUGACCUGCUCUCAAAGAGCAUCUCAGUUCUAGGGUUCUGGGCCCCCUCCACAAAGACCCAACUGCCCUCCUCACUCCAUACUGGGAAGUGGGUGCCUGGGAAGAGGGUGUUCCCAGGCAGCUCCAGCAGGGAGAGGAGCUAAGAAAUUCUCCCUGACACCCUGAUUAUCUCCACUCCAUUAGGGGCCUCAAGUCUUCCUCCCCCCACCUAGCUGUGGAGGCUUCUGGCCUGUAGGUGGGUGGGACUUGGUCAUAAGGCAGCCAGUUGCAGAGCCCUGGGAGUCUUAUGGCUAUUGCUGGUCCACUGGUAGGUGGAGCCAGGUCCCAGGUUGGCUGGCUGCAAGGUAGGGUGUCCUAGAGCUAGUGCCUGCUGGUGGGUGUGGUAGGACCCUGCAGUUGGCUGAGGGGCCAAAGGCGUUCUGGAGCUGGGGUUGGCCUGCUUCGUGGGUCUGGUCUUGAGAUGGCUGGAUGAGGGGUUGGGGUAAUCCCAGGGCUGGUAUUCCCCUACUUGUGGAUGGAGCUGAGUCCUGGGGUCUCUGGCCACAAGGUUUUGGGUUUCCUGGAGUUGGUGUUAGGCCACUGGUGGGCAGGGCUGGGUCCCCAUGUGUCUGGGGGCUCAGGGGGCCCUAUAGCAGCUUGCCUACUAGUAGGUAGGGCUAUGUCUCCAGCCAGCUAGUUGCUUGGCCUGGGUCAUCCCAGGGCUGGUGCAAAUGUGCUAAUGGACAGGGCCCAUUCCAGUGCUAAUAAGCUAGAGGGAGAAUUCCAAAAUGGCUCUUGACAGCACCAGCAUCCUCAUGGUGGAAACAAGCCCCUCAAAAUGGCUAUUUACAGGAAUUCGAGGUUGCUGUGGUGGCUUGGGUUCAAUCCCUGGUCUGGUGCAGUGGGUUAAGAAUCCAGCGUUGCCACAGCUGCAGUGUAGGUCACAGAUGCGGAAGCUAGCUAGCUUUACCAAACUAGAGGGACUGGAGUUCCCUUUGUGGCUCAGUGGGUUAAGAAUCCGACCAGUAUCCAUGAGGAUGGGGGUUCAAUCCCUGGCCUCACUCAGUGGGUUAAGGAUCUGGCAUUGCUACAAGCUCUGGCGAAGAUUGCAGAUGUGGCUCAGAUCCCACGUUGUGGUGGCUGCGGUGUAGGCCAGCAGCUGCACCUCUGCUUCGACCCCUAGCCUGGGAACUUUCAUAUGCCACAGGUGUGGGCCUAAAAAGACAAAAAACAAAACAAAACAAAGCAAAAACAAAAAAAAAAAAACACCAAAAAACUAAACUGGAGGGAUUAACAGCCCACUAAAGUGGUCUGGAAGCUGUCUGAAAAUUACUUUAAAUUGGAAACAUCUGAACAAUUAGCAGCCACAGAAAGAAAUAUCUGAACUUAAUCAGAACCUCUAGGAAAUACAAUUGUCAUUAACCUUCCUCCAGGAAAGUUUCCUUCUUGGAAGAAGAUUGACCCUUAGCAUUAGGAAGUGUGAACUCAGCGGCCAUUAGUAUCAAAAAACCCAGUAGAACUUCCUUUCUCUGGAAAUUAUAAUUUCCCAUUGAAGCCCUAAACCAUCCUCCUUUAAGCUAUAAUAUAAACCUUUCUCUCUGACUAUUCAGAGUACUCUUCUGACUAUUCUGAGUACUCUUGUGUAUAUAAUAAACUCUUCUCUGCUAAUCUGUCUAUCAUUAGUUAAUUUGCGGUCCCACCCCAACCAGCAACCAGUCAGACUAAAUUGCUAGAGAAGUUUUCUUCCCUUCAAAAAUCCUUAUUUACCUGGGGACACAGUUUAACUCUAUUCUCUAUAUUACCCCUGUGGCUGUGACUUUGUAAUAGCCAAUGGGACAUGAAUGUUGAGGAAAUAAUUAAAAAUAAAUUUACUGUCAAUCCAGGAAACAUCUCCACAAAGGUACUCAAGAAAGAAAAAGAUUCUAUUAUUAUUAUUUUGUUGUUUGUUUUGUUUGAUUUUGGCUGUGCCCAAGGCACACACAAGUUCUGCAUCAGGGAUCAAACCCAUGCCAUAGCAGUGACUGGAGCCACAGCAAUGACGAUGCCAGAUCCUUAAUCUUCUGAGCCACCAGGUAACUCCAAAUCUUUAUUAUUGAAUAAGCAUUAAACAAUGCCUAUCACAGGUAGUGGCUAAAGAGAUUGCAAAAUUAGAAAAAAAAAUCUUAUCCUUUUAUAUAUAUGUGUGUGUUAAUUAUCCUUAUCAAAAGGGAAAAUAAAACUUCUCCUAUUUUUUCAACCAAAAAUGUGUUGGAGCCAAGCACCGGUGGUGGAACAGUUAAGUAGGAAGUCGUGCUCCCGGAGGUUUGUAUUUCAAGAAGGUGGUGCCAAGGAAGAGGUUCCUGAAAUGUAAAACUGGCAAGAAGCCGAAUUUAGCUUUUAAAAAGUUGUACAUACAUCUCUAGGAGACACAGAAAGCAUUUAUGUCUUCACGUUUUCCAAAGGAAGUGCUAAAAUGAAGGAAGAUUGGGAAAUCUCUUUUUCCCUUUUGGCACCACAGAAAAUUUUAAAUUAAAACUAUUAUUAUUAUUAUUAUUUUGCCUUUUUUAGGGCCUCUCCCAUGGCAUAUGGAGGUUCCCAGGCUAAGGGUCGAAUUGGAGCUGUAGCCCCUGGCCUACGCCAGAGCCACAGCAACACGGAAUCUGAGCCACGUCUGCAACCUACACCACAGCUCACGGCAACACCAGAUCUUUAACCCACUAAACAAGGCCAGGGAUCGAACCUGCAAUUCGAUCGUGGUUCCUAGUCGGGUUCAUUAACUACUGAGCCACGAUGGGAACUCCCAAAUUAAGACAAUUUUAAACAUUUGGUUUGUAUUUACCCUCAUGUGUUCAAAAGUAAUGUGCGCCUCCUGCAGGCAUGGCCCAUUAAUAUGCUCCGCACAUGAUAAUCCAUACUCUUUUAAUCCUUCUAACAUCUUGAUUCAGAAGAGUUCAGGAGGGGUUCCCAUCAUGGCUCAAUGGAAACGAAUUGACUAGCAUCCAUGAGGACGCAGGUUCGAUCCCUAGCCUUGCUCAGUGGGUUAAGGAUCCGGUGUUACCAUGAGCUGUGGUGUUGGUUGCAGAUGUGGCUCAGAUCCAGCAUUGCUGUGGCUGUGAUGUAGGCCGGCAAGUACAGCUCCGAUUCAACCCCUAGCCUGAGAACCUUCAUGUGCUGCAGGUAUGGCCUUAAAAAGACAAAAAUUAAAAAAAAAAAAAAAA
Molecule: long non-coding RNA, 6312 nt
Filed under: Sus scrofa (pig)
Lineage: Eukaryota; Metazoa; Chordata; Mammalia; Artiodactyla; Suidae
Description: lncRNA (ENSSSCG00005005600.1)
Source: RNAcentral